This 122-nucleotide microRNA precursor is filed under the name Cyprinus carpio (common carp). Its description in RNAcentral is "microRNA ccr-mir-29b precursor". Its record names the gene ccr-mir-29b. The stretch from base 22 to 105 matches the Rfam family "mir-29 microRNA precursor family". From Rfam's summary of the family: This family represents the microRNA (miRNA) precursors mir-29. Animal miRNAs are transcribed as ~70nt precursors and subsequently processed by the Dicer enzyme to give a ~22nt product. The record is from miRBase by way of RNAcentral. Lineage: Eukaryota; Metazoa; Chordata; Actinopteri; Cypriniformes; Cyprinidae.
GCAAUCCUGGACGCUUCCUCCGGAUGCUGGUUUCACAUGGUGGUUUAGAUGUGUUCUACGAUAGUGUUCUACCAGUGUUCUAGCACCAUUUGAAAUCAGUGUUCCUGGGGUAAGGGAAUUGC